CCUACGGGUGGCUGCAGUGGGGAAUAUUGGACAAUGGGGGCAACCCUGAUCCAGCCAUGCCGCGUGUGUGAAGAAGGCCCUCGGGUUGUAAAGCACUUUCAGUGAGGAAGAACGCCUGGUGGUUAAUACCCAUCAGGAAAGACAUCACUCACAGAAGAAGCACCGGCUAACUCCGUGCCAGCAGCCGCGGUAAUACGGAGGGUGCGAGCGUUAAUCGGAAUUACUGGGCGUAAAGCGCGCGUAGGUGGCUUGAUAAGCCGGUUGUGAAAGCCCCGGGCUCAACCUGGGAACGGCAUCCGGAACUGUCAAGCUAGAGUGCAGGAGAGGAAGGUAGAAUUCCCGGUGUAGCGGUGAAAUGCGUAGAGAUCGGGAGGAAUACCAGUGGCGAAGGCGGCCUUCUGGACUGACACUGACGCUGAGGUGCGAAAGCGUGGGUAGCAAACAGGAUUAGAUACCCCUGUAGUC
RNAcentral lists this ribosomal RNA (465 nucleotides) under Vreelandella stevensii. Its description in RNAcentral is "partial 16S ribosomal RNA". It matches the Rfam family "Bacterial small subunit ribosomal RNA", at positions 338 to 795 of the family's 1533-position model. Lineage: Bacteria; Pseudomonadati; Pseudomonadota; Gammaproteobacteria; Oceanospirillales; Halomonadaceae. The record is from RNAcentral.